Molecule: long non-coding RNA, 729 nt
Organism: Gossypium raimondii (Peruvian cotton)
Lineage: Eukaryota; Viridiplantae; Streptophyta; Magnoliopsida; Malvales; Malvaceae
Exons: 2
Source: RefSeq, a predicted model, not a curated record
UUAAAAUUUAGAUUAAAAAAGUCGAGUUUCUUUUUUCCUUCCUAAAGCAUUUCAAUCUACAUUUCAGUCGGCUAUUAAUGUUUUUAGAUUACAAUCCGGAUACAUCUGGCUCGUGUUUAUGAGGCGAGGCGAUUGUGUUGAGCAAAUUUGAGAAUAUGAUUAUUGUGAUGUGUUGUUAGAAACAGAUUGUUUGAAAGCACUGCAUCAUAUUAAGAAUAUCCUAAUAAUUUCUAUGUCAUUCAAUUUAUCCGAAAUCGAGCCGAGAUUGAGAUAUUGAUGACAGGAGAUUACCUCUGUGGUAGGGGAAGAAUUACUUUGAAGUUGAAUGAAUAUUAAAUACUCAAAAAGAGGAAAAUUUUAUUGUCAGAAACAGGGAAUUUACAUCUAUUUUCAAGAUGAUUUAAGAAGCAACAAAGAGAAAUAAAAAUACAUAAAAAGAAUAAUAAUAAUAAUAACUUAUUCCAUCCAUCCCCAAGCAUCAAGUUGAGUGCAACUUGAAUACAUAGUAAGAAAGUAGUGAAAAAAGAAUAUAUUACAUGGAAAAGAGGAGAGGUUUGAUUUUAGAACCUUGGGCGUUUACACUCUGGUGGAACACCUUGAGGGAAACGUUUCAAAUCAGUGCAAUAGUUAUAAAUCAUGAAAUAUUUUUGAACCCAUCUUAAUCUUCUUCUUCCUGGUGCAUCAAGUUCGUUUGUUUCCCAUGCACCGGCGGAGACCGAGUUAGUUUUA